Poeciliopsis prolifica (blackstripe livebearer) is the source of this 1112-nucleotide long non-coding RNA. RefSeq lists it as uncharacterized. The record is from RefSeq and is a predicted model, not a curated record. The transcript has 2 exons. NCBI's taxonomy places the organism in Eukaryota, Metazoa, Chordata, Actinopteri, Cyprinodontiformes, Poeciliidae.
ACAAUGUUUAGAUAAAAAUAUAUUUAUGGAGUUUCCCUCUUCAAGUUGCAAUUAUAAAACUGAUUCCUAGCAUAAAUUUCUCCAUGAACUUUUCAGCUGUAUGUGUGCAAUUUGUUUUGAACAGGCAUGUUUUUAUGUGCUGAAAGUCGGUCUUUCAGUGUCAGUCAUGGUCUUUAAGACAAAUCUUCCACGUUGAAAGAUAAUAGGAGGAAUUGAUUUAACUUGGAGAACUGUACAACUUCAGCUGACAGAGCCUCAUUUCUUUGACAGAGACAUACAGAAGACAAAAGGCUUUGCACACCUGAGUGUGAGCAGUUUAUCCCGUACUUUGCAGACCUCAGGAUGACAGUCUGAAUUACAAGUGUCAGUGGGCCGCCAUCUUCACUUCUCCCACGUAUACUCUUUUAUGCAAAAGUGUGGACUUUGGUUAAACCAUUUAAAGAAAACUGGUAUAGCCUAAUCUCACUGUGGUUUUUGCUUCUUGCUAUCAGAAAGGUUAUAAUUGAUAGGAGCAUAUUUGACAAAAACUGCUUACAAAUUGUCUUGUUGCUCUUUGUUUGCCUACCCAUCAACUAGUAUUUCAUAUAUAUAAAACCUCAAAUCCAUUGGCAUAUAUUUACGUAUGUAACUGCUUCUUACAGGUUCUUACUGCUUAUUGUUUUGGGAUAAGGAGUCUUAUUGGAGUCUUUGUGUUCAACAGGUGCAUAGAGCAUACAAAAUGUGCUGUUCUUGUCUAAGUUGUGAAAGUAUUUCUUUUAAAACCAGAUGUGUUGGAAGGUAAAUUCUGAUGUAAAAAAAUAUUAAGUAGUACUUUGUGCAUAAUGUUUAAGGAUGCUGCAUCUGUAAUCUAAUAGUAAAUCUCAUUUAUGUCUACAUAAAAAAAGUGAUUUCAAGUUUAUGCAGUUGUAAUGUAGCGCAUAAUCAUUUUUCUUGUUUGAUGUUAUCCCAAAUCUGCUUUCUGUUCUGUAUUUUUUUUCUCCCCUUCUCUUUAUCUUCUGUCUUUCUGCAUUACACUUAAUAUAAACAUGACCAUGUAGUAUAACUCCUCCUGUAAACAUGGUGCCCGCUGGUCAGGAUGCAGGCAUGUGUAUUAAAUACAGCAUCAAAUUAAA